RNAcentral lists this ribosomal RNA (490 nucleotides) under uncultured bacterium. RNAcentral describes it as "partial 16S ribosomal RNA". It matches the Rfam family "Bacterial small subunit ribosomal RNA", at positions 29 to 507 of the family's 1533-position model. The record is from RNAcentral.
AGUGAACGCUGGCGGUAGGCCUAACACAUGCAAGUCGAACGGCAGCACAGUAAGAGCUUGCUCUUACGGGUGGCGAGUGGCGGACGGGUGAGGAAUACAUCGGAAUCUACUUUUUCGUGGGGGAUAACGUAGGGAAACUUACGCUAAUACCGCAUACGACCUACGGGUGAAAGCAGGGGAUCUUCGGACCUUGCGCGAUUGAAUGAGCCGAUGUCGGAUUAGCUAGUUGGCGGGGUAAAGGCCCACCAAGGCGACGAUCCGUAGCUGGUCUGAGAGGAUGAUCAGCCACACUGGAACUGAGACACGGUCCAGACUCCUACGGGAGGCAGCAGUGGAAUAUUGGACAAUGGGCGCAAGCCUGAUCCAGCCAUACCGCGUGGGUGAAGAAGGCCUUCGGGUUGUAAAGCCCUUUUGUUGGGAAAGAAAAGCAGCAGGUUAAUACCCCGCUGUUCUGACGGUACCCAAAGAAUAAGCACCGGCUAACUUCGUG